GUCUUGGUAGCUCAGAUGGCAGAGCACUGGGCUACUGAUCCAGUGGUCAUUAGUUCAAAUCUCACCCAAGACA
This is a non-coding RNA of Cydia pomonella (codling moth), 73 nucleotides long. Lineage: Eukaryota; Metazoa; Arthropoda; Insecta; Lepidoptera; Tortricidae. The record is from the annotation of a RefSeq genome assembly.